This 508-nucleotide ribosomal RNA is filed under the name uncultured bacterium. RNAcentral describes it as "bacterial SSU rRNA". It matches the Rfam family "Bacterial small subunit ribosomal RNA", at positions 791 to 1304 of the family's 1533-position model. The record is from RNAcentral.
UAGUCCACGCCGUAAACGAUGAUAACUAGUUGUUUGUGAUACACAAUAAGCGACAAAGCGAAAGCAUUAAGUUAUCCACCUGGGGAGUACGUUGGCAACAAUGAAACUCAAAGGAAUUGACGGGGGCCCGCACAAGCGGAGGAACAUGUGGUUUAAUUCGAUGAUACGCGAGGAACCUUACCUGGACUUAAAUGUAGGUUGACAUGCUUAGAGAUAGGCUUUUCUUCGGACAAUUUACAAGGUGCUGCAUGGUUGUCGUCAGCUCGUGCCGUGAGGUGUUGGGUUAAGUCCCGCAACGAGCGCAACCCCUAUUCUUAGUUGCCAGCAUGUAAUGAUGGGGACUCUAAGGAGACUGCCGGCGUAAGCCGCGAGGAAGGUGGGGACGACGUCAAAUCAUCAUGGCCUUUAUGCCUAGGGCUACACACGUGCUACAAUGGUGACUACAGAGGGUUGCGAAACCGUGAGGUGGAGCUAAUCUCAGAAAGGUCAUCCCAGUUCGGAUUGAAGU